Molecule: long non-coding RNA, 202 nt
Filed under: Citrus maxima (pomelo)
Lineage: Eukaryota; Viridiplantae; Streptophyta; Magnoliopsida; Sapindales; Rutaceae
Description: long non-coding RNA (CMAX_LNC000378)
Source: RNAcentral
UGGUCCCAAGAAAGUUUGAUUUCUAAACAAAGGGGAAAAAAGUUAAAAGAAAGUAAGAUUUAUUUUACAAAUUUUACGGUGCUUCUCUUUUAGAACUGUAUGUAUAAAUAAUAAUAAUAAUAAUAAUAAUAUGAGUUUCAUAGAAAAUUUAGUUUAUUUGAUCAUGUUCAUUGAUAUGCUUUAACAAUGCUUUAUUAAUUCU